This 500-nucleotide ribosomal RNA is filed under the name uncultured bacterium. Its description in RNAcentral is "partial 16S ribosomal RNA". It matches the Rfam family "Bacterial small subunit ribosomal RNA", at positions 30 to 523 of the family's 1533-position model. The record is from RNAcentral.
AUUGAACGCUGGCGGCAUGCCUUACACAUGCAAGUCGAACGGCAGCACGGGAGCAAUCCUGGUGGCGAGUGGCGAACGGGUGAGUAAAGUAUCGGAACGUGCCCAGUCGUGGGGGAUAACGUAGCGAAAGUUACGCUAAUACCGCAUACGAUCUAUGGAUGAAAGCGGGGGAUCGCAAGACCUCGCACGAUUGGAGCGGCCGAUAUCAGAUUAGGUAGUUGGUGGGGUAAAGGCUCACCAAGCCGACGAUCUGUAGCUGGUCUGAGAGGACGACCAGCCACACUGGGACGGAGAAACGGCCCAGACUCCCACGGGAGGCAGCAGUGGGGAAUUUUGGACAAUGGGCGAAAGCCUGAUCCAGCCAUGCCGCGUGCAGGAUGAAGGCCUUCGGGUUGUAAACUGCUUUUGUACGGAACGAAAAGGUUUGGCCUAAUAAGCUGAGCUCAUGACGGUACCGUAAGAAUAAGCACCGGCUAACUACGUGCCAGCCGCCGCCGUAA